Molecule: ribosomal RNA, 550 nt
Filed under: uncultured bacterium
Lineage: Bacteria
Description: bacterial SSU rRNA
Rfam family: Bacterial small subunit ribosomal RNA
Source: RNAcentral
UAGGGAAUCUUCGGCAAUGGACGGAAGUCUGACCGAGCAACGCCGCGUGAGUGAAGAAGGUUUUCGGAUCGUAAAGCUCUGUUGUAAGAGAAGAACGAGUGUGAGAGUGGAAAGUUCACACUGUGACGGUAUCUUACCAGAAAGGGAUGGCUAACUACGUGCCAGCAGCCGCGGUAAUACGUAGGUCCCGAGCGUUGUCCGGAUUUAUUGGGCGUAAAGCGGGCGCAGGCGGUUAGAUAAGUCUGAAGUUAAAGGCUGUGGCUUAACCAUAGUAGGCUUUGGAAACUGUUUAACUUGAGUGCAAGAGGGGAGAGUGGAAUUCCAUGUGUAGCGGUGAAAUGCGUAGAUAUAUGGAGGAACACCGGUGGCGAAAGCGGCUCUCUGGCUUGUAACUGACGCUGAGGCUCGAAAGCGUGGGGAGCAAACAGGAUUAGAUACCCUGGUAGUCCACGCUGUAAACGAUGAGUGCUAGGUGUUAGACCCUUUCCGGGGUUUAGUGCCGUAGCUAACGCAUUAAGCACUCCGCCUGGGGAGUACGACCGCAAGGUUG